RNAcentral lists this ribosomal RNA (232 nucleotides) under uncultured bacterium. Its description in RNAcentral is "partial 16S ribosomal RNA". It matches the Rfam family "Bacterial small subunit ribosomal RNA", at positions 99 to 334 of the family's 1533-position model. The record is from RNAcentral.
CGGACGGGUGAGUAAUGUAUGGGGAUCUGCCUGAUGGCGGGGGAUAACUACUGGAAACGGUAGCUAAUACCGCAUAACGUCGCAAGACCAAAGAGGGGGACCUCCGGGCCUCGCGCCAUCAGAUGAACCCAUAUGGGAUUAGCUAGUAGGUAAGGUAACGGCUUACCUAGGCGACGAUCCCUAGCUGGUCUGAGAGGAUGAUCAGCCACACUGGGACUGAGACACGGCCCAG